This 291-nucleotide ribosomal RNA is filed under the name uncultured bacterium. Its description in RNAcentral is "partial 16S ribosomal RNA". It matches the Rfam family "Bacterial small subunit ribosomal RNA", at positions 30 to 319 of the family's 1533-position model. The record is from RNAcentral.
AUUGAACGCUGGCGGAAUGCUUUACACAUGCAAGUCGAACGGCAGCACGGGGGCAACCCUGGUGGCGAGUGGCGAACGGGUGAGUAAUACAUCGGAACGUGCCCAGUCGUGGGGGAUAACGUAGCGAAAGCUACGCUAAUACCGCAUACGAUCUACGGAUGAAAGCGGGGGAUCGCAAGACCUCGCGCGAUUGGAGCGGCCGAUGGCAGAUUAGGUAGUUGGUGGGUAAAGGGACGUCACCAAGCCGACGAUCUGUAGCUGGUCUGAGAGGACGACCAGCCACACUGGGAC